CAUGCCGGGUCUUUUUAUACAUCUUCCCUCUUUCAGCUUUUCUAUGAGCUAAAGCCUUAUCUCUUUCUUCCUUCUUUGCUUUAAUAAUAGCCUCCCUCUCAAUUCUUGCUUCCUCUUUCUCUUUGUGCUGCUUCUCAUACAUUUCUCUCAAACUGUAGGAACCAUUCUUCUUGUUGUUCUUCUUCUUCAUCAUUUUACUACUUUCUCCACUUUCAUUCUUAUCCUCCAUAGGUCUGACAACUGAAGAGUGAUCAUCCGGCUGAUUUUGUUGCUUUAGCUUUUUCUUAAACAUUCUCACAUACUUUGCAUUCUUAUAGAACUCUCUUUGC
Molecule: unclassified non-coding RNA, 329 nt
Filed under: Hevea brasiliensis (rubber tree)
Lineage: Eukaryota; Viridiplantae; Streptophyta; Magnoliopsida; Malpighiales; Euphorbiaceae
Source: RNAcentral